UACGAAGGGGGCUAGCGUUGUUCGGAUUUACUGGGCGUAAAGCGCACGUAGGCGGAUCGUUAAGUCGGGGGUGAAAUCCUGGAGCUCAACUCCAGAACUGCCUUCGAUACUGGCGAUCUUGAGUCCGGAAGAGGCGAGUGGAAUUCCCGGUGUAGCGGUGAAAUGCGCAGAUAUCGGGAGGAACACCAAUGGCGAAGGCAGCUCGCUGGGACGUUACUGACGCUGAGACGCGAAAGCGUGGGGAGCAAACAGG
RNAcentral lists this ribosomal RNA (253 nucleotides) under uncultured bacterium. Its description in RNAcentral is "partial 16S ribosomal RNA". It matches the Rfam family "Bacterial small subunit ribosomal RNA", at positions 524 to 776 of the family's 1533-position model. The record is from RNAcentral.